This 915-nucleotide ribosomal RNA is filed under the name uncultured bacterium. RNAcentral's name for it is "bacterial SSU rRNA". It matches the Rfam family "Bacterial small subunit ribosomal RNA", at positions 568 to 1482 of the family's 1533-position model. The record is from RNAcentral.
UCCGNNGGGUGGCCNGUAAGUCUGUCGUUAAAGCGUGGAGCUUAACUCCAUUUAAGCGAUGGAAACUACAGGGCUAGAGUGUGGUAGGGGCAGAGGAAAUUCCCGGUGUAGCGGUGAAAUGCGUAGAUAUCGGGAAGAACACCAGUGGCGAAGGCGCUCUGCUGGGCCAUCACUGACACUCAUGGACGAAAGCCAGGGGAGCGAAAGGGAUUAGAUACCCCUGUAGUCCUGGCCGUAAACGAUGAACACUAGGUGUCGGGGGAAUCGACCCCCUCGGUGUCGUAGCCAACGCGUUAAGUGUUCCGCCUGGGGAGUACGCACGCAAGUGUGAAACUCAAAGGAAUUGACGGGGGCCCGCACAAGCGGUGGAGUAUGUGGUUUAAUUCGAUGCAACGCGAAGAACCUUACCAGGGUUUGACAUCCUGCGAAUCCCUUGGAAACGAGGGAGUGCCUUCGGGAGCGCAGAGACAGGUGGUGCAUGGCUGUCGUCAGCUCGUGUCGUGAGAUGUUGGGUUAAGUCCCGCAACGAGCGCAACCCACGUCGUUAGUUGCCAGCAUUCAGUUGGGCACUCUAGCGAGACCGCCGGUGAUAAACCGGAGGAAGGUGUGGAUGACGUCAAGUCAUCAUGCCCCUUACAUCCUGGGCUACACACGUACUACAAUGCUACGGACAAAGGGCAGCAAGCUCGCGAGAGUUAGCAAAUCCCAUAAACCGUGGCUCAGUUCAGAUCGUAGGCUGCAACUCGCCUACGUGAAGGAGGAAUCGCUAGUAAUCGCAGGUCAGCAUACUGCGGUGAAUACGUUCCCGGGCCUUGUACACACCGCCCGUCACACCAUGGAAGUUGGCCACGCCCGAAGUCGUUACUCCAACCCUUGUGGAGGAGGACGCCGAAGGUGGGGCUGAUGACUGGGGUG